GAUGAACGCUAGCUACAGGCUUAACACAUGCCAGUCGCGGGGCAGCAUGGGGGUUGCUUGCAAUCCCCGAUGGCGACCGGCGCACGGGUGAGUAACGCGUAUCCAACCUGCCCUUCACCACGGGAUAACCCGGCGAAAGUCGGACUAAUACCGUAUGUUGUCCAUUGACGGCAUCCGAUUUGGACGAAAGGCUUGGCGGUGAGGGAUGGGGAUGCGUCCGAUUAGCCAGACGGCGGGGUAACGGCCCACCGUGGCUACGAUCGGUAGGGGUUCUGAGAGGAAGGUCCCCACACUGGAACUGAGACACGGUCCAGACUCCUACGGGAGGCAGCAGUGAGGAAUAUUGGUCAAUGGGCGUAAGCCUGAACCAGCCAAGUAGCGUGCAGGAGGACGGCCCUAUGGGUUGUAAACUGCUUUUAUGCGGGGAUAAAGUGGCCCACGUGUGGGCUUUUGCAGGUACCGCAUGAAUAAGGACCGGCUAAUUCCGUG
Molecule: ribosomal RNA, 489 nt
Filed under: uncultured bacterium
Lineage: Bacteria
Description: partial 16S ribosomal RNA
Rfam family: Bacterial small subunit ribosomal RNA
Source: RNAcentral